RNAcentral lists this ribosomal RNA (356 nucleotides) under uncultured bacterium. RNAcentral describes it as "bacterial SSU rRNA". It matches the Rfam family "Bacterial small subunit ribosomal RNA", at positions 8 to 350 of the family's 1533-position model. The record is from RNAcentral.
AGAGUUUGAUCAUGGCUCAGGAUGAACGCUAGCUACAGGCUUAACACAUGCAAGUCGAGGGGAAACGACAUCGAAAGCUUGCUUUUGAUGGGCGUCGACCGGCGCACGGGUGAGUAACGCGUAUCCAACCUGCCCACCACUUGGGGAUAACCUUGCGAAAGUAAGACUAAUACCCAAUGACGUCUCUAGAAGACAUCUGAAAGAGAUUAAAGAUUUAUCGGUGAUGGAUGGGGAUGCGUCUGAUUAGCUUGUUGGCGGGGUAAACGGCCGCCAAAGGCUACGAUCAGUAGGGGUUCUGAGAGGAAGGUCCCCCCANAUUGGAACUGAGACACGGUCCAAAACUCCUACGGGAGGCA